CUACCAUGGCAGUCGAGCGGUAGAGAGAAGCUUGCUUCUCUUGAGAGCGGCGGACGGGUGAGUAAUGCCUAGGAAUCUGCCUGGUAGUGGGGGAUAACGCUCGGAAACGGACGCUAAUACCGCAUACGUCCUACGGGAGAAAGCAGGGGACCUUCGGGCCUUGCGCUAUCAGAUGAGCCUAGGUCGGAUUAGCUAGUUGGUGAGGUAAUGGCUCACCAAGGCGACGAUCCGUAACUGGUCUGAGAGGAUGAUCAGUCACACUGGAACUGAGACACGGUCCAGACUCCUACGGGAGGCAGCAGUGGGGAAUAUUGGACAAUGGGCGAAAGCCUGAUCCAGCCAUGCCGCGUGUGUGAAGAAGGUCUUCGGAUUGUAAAGCACUUUAAGUUGGGAGGAAGGGCAUUAACCUAAUACGUUAGUGUUUUGACGUUACCGACAGAAUAAGCACCGGCUAACUCUGUGCCAGCAGCCGCGGUAAUACAGAGGGUGCAAGCGUUAAUCGGAAUUACUGGGCGUAAAGCGCGCGUAGGUGGUUCGUUAAGUUGGAUGUGAAAGCCCCGGGCUCAACCUGGGAACUGCAUUCAAAACUGACGAGCUAGAGUAUGGUAGAGGGUGGUGGAAUUU
Molecule: ribosomal RNA, 624 nt
Filed under: uncultured bacterium
Lineage: Bacteria
Description: bacterial SSU rRNA
Rfam family: Bacterial small subunit ribosomal RNA
Source: RNAcentral